RNAcentral lists this long non-coding RNA (834 nucleotides) under Callithrix jacchus (white-tufted-ear marmoset). RNAcentral describes it as "lncRNA (ENSCJAG00000077955.1)". The record is from RNAcentral. Lineage: Eukaryota; Metazoa; Chordata; Mammalia; Primates; Cebidae.
CAGAGCAACACCGUGUCUCACACAUGAAGAAAAAAAAGGAAAAAAUGAGGAAAAGAAACCUGAAAAGGGUUAAAUAUUUUGCUCAAGAACACACCACUGGGCUGGGCAUAAUGGUUCACACCUGUAAUCCCAGUACUUUGGAAAGCUGAGGUGAGUGGAUCACCUGAGGCCAGGAGUUUGAGACCAGCCUGGCCAACUAACAUGGCGAAAACCUGUGUAUACUAAAAAUACAAAAAAUUACCUGGGUGUGGUGACAGAGGCCUGUAGUCCCAGCUACUUGGAAGGCUGAGGCAGGAGAAUUGCUUGAACUCGGGAGACAGAACCGGAAGUGCAGGGAGCUGGGAUUGCACCACUGCACCCUAGCCUGGGUGAGAGAACAAGACUCCAACAAAAAAAAAACCCACCUGAAACUGAUGGAUUCAGAGAGUGAUCUGAAAAAUUGAUUUGAUGCCCAAACCCAUGAUCUUUUUUUACACUCCACAAACUUUAUUAAGAAAGGUGCUGAUUGUAUUGUUAGAUACAGUCUCAACAUACGCCUCUCCAGUCAGUAUCUAAAAAAUUAUUCCUGCUUCCCCACAGCUUCACAACUCACCUUGGUGCAUCUCUGUCCCACACGGGAUUCAGAAGUCUAAUCAGGAAUGUAAUUAGGAACAUGAUGCAGAUGGGCAAGGCCUGUCCCUUCCUUCUUCAGCUGCUGUGUGGUGCCAGGACCGGUGGUAACAAGAGCCCUCAAGGGGAAGAACAUGAUAAUCCUGGUGUCUGGAGAAUGAGAGGGACUUAAUGGUAGUAAAUGCUCAAAGAAACCUUGUGACUAUGCUGCUCAGGUCACUUCGC